Molecule: RNA transcript, 3293 nt
Organism: Schistocerca serialis cubense
Lineage: Eukaryota; Metazoa; Arthropoda; Insecta; Orthoptera; Acrididae
Exons: 3
Source: RefSeq, a predicted model, not a curated record
UCUUUCCCGUCUUCCGGUGGGCCUGGAUCCUAAGUUCGAUCAGGAGGAGAUUAUGUGUUUUCAUUUGGAUGUGGUGUCCCGCCAAGCAGUUGACGGCUUCCCGAUCACUAGUUCUAGAGCCACCAGGGAAAUGGCAGCUGACCCGGUUCUCCGGCAAGUAGUUCGCAUCGUUCAGCAGGGGUGGUCAUCCCGACCUCCAGGCCGGGUCUCGGACCCUCUUCGUAAUUAUUUUGUUCUACGAGACCGCCUCUCAGUCUUGGAAGGAGUUCUCCUUCUGGCUACUGAUGAUACAGCUCCUCGCGUGGUUGUUCCUGCAAGUUUGUGAAGGGAGGUCCUCACGUUAUUACAUGAGGGGCACUGGGGUGUAUCCCGUACUAAAACCUUGGCUCACAGACAUGUGUACUGGCCUGGUAUUGACAGACACAUUGAGCAUUUGGUGGCCGCCUCUUCCCAGUAUGUGAGCCAACAGGCGUCUCCCAGGUCAGUGUUCUCUUCAUGGCCGCCUGCAACCCGGGCAUGGGAACGUGUUCACAUAGAUUUUGCAGGCCCGUUUCGCAAUGGCUUUUGGCUCAUUGUCAUUGAUGCUUAUUCCCAAUUCCCAUAUGUGGUUCGCUGCCCCUCAACCACUUCAGAAGUUGCAAUCCAGGCACUCACAAAAAUCUUUUCUGUGAAAGGCCUGUCAGUCACCCUGGUAUCGGACAAUGGACCUCAGUUUAUUUUGCAGGCCUUCCUGGAUUUUUGUAGGCGCUUCGGUAUUUGGCACGUUUGCUCUCCCCCCUUUCAUUCACAAUCAAAUGGGGAAGCCGAGCGCAUGGUGCGCACAUUUAAGACGCAGAUGAAAAAGUAUGUGCACGAAUGUCCUGCAGAGGAGGCAUUGACGUUUUUCCUGACGGCAUACCAGACCACACCGAUGGGAGAAUGCAGCCUCACAGAGCUCCUCCACGGGCGCCAACCUAGGACUCUGCUGCACCUCCUCCAGCCUGGUCCUCGCCAGUCUUCGCAAAACGGGGUACCCGGCUUUCCACCGGGUAUGUGGGUCUGGGCACAUGGGUUUGGUCGCAAUCUACAUUGGAUACCAGCGGUGGUCCUGUACUGCAAUGGCCACAGGCUCUAUACCUUGCAGGCGGGGGACCGGGAGGUACAUCGUCACCAAAAUCAGCUAUGUCCAUGUUUUGGCACCCACCCUCCAACCCCUCAGGCACUGGCUUCCCCAUUGCCGGCACCCGUGUUGUUUUCUCAGGGGAUGCUACCGCCCCUCCCUCCUGUGACUCCGCCACACUGCAUUGGUUCUCAGCCUUGGCGGCCUCCAGUAGCUCCAGCAUCGGCAUUGCCAUCGUUAGAGAUGCCCCGGCGAGAGCCGGCCCUCCUCGCAGGCCCGGUUUCUCAGGAGGCUGGUUCAUCUGUGGUCGUGCCUUCCCCAUCAUCCCCACCACUGGGUCUUGCCCCUCCCAAGGUGAAAUGGGAUCCGGAGUUCGACAGCUUGUCGCCCGUUCUGUCCCGGGGUCCGGUGGUGGGACGACGGGGGCCUCUUCUUGUGGGUCACUUCCAACCGUAUUCGAAGUUUUUGGCUGGAGGGUUGGCAGAUCCCCCCAACUCCAGCAUUCCAAUGGAAGUGGAGGCCAUCGCUACUGCACGAUGCUCCACCUUCCAACACAGUGGAUCACAGUGGCUUCACCCCCCGAAGGAGGAGGAGUGCAGUAGCCACCAGAAAGAUUGUGGGAGGCGCACAUCGGUACGGUGUGUCACGGACAGUAGUGGCUGCAAGUAAAGUCCCGUCCACCAGAGGGCACGCAAGAAUUUGGCCGCGCCCUCUGCCGGAGAAACAACAACAACUCUGGCAGCACGGGUAGUGUCCAGUCAGUUUUACAUCGGGCAUGCCUAGCAGACAGUUCCCGGUCUACACUAUGUGAAGUGCGAUGGACAACGAGAAUUGUGUUAAUACAGAGAAGGUGGAUGUUAAAAAUUCAUAGAGACCAUACCAGAGAAUAUAUGGAAGAAAAAUGUAAGGAGCUUCUUUAUGAACCAUUUGGACAGUCUGAUAACUUCUGCAAGAUGAGCUACACUGAUUUUGAAUAUUUGGUGAAUGAAAUUUCACCUACGAUUUCGAAGAAAAGUACAGACUUCAGAGCAGCUAUACCAGCUAAAUAUCGUCUGGCAAUAACACUAAGAUAUUUAGCAUCCAGAGACAGUUACAAGAGUCUACACUAUUUGUUUAAAGUAUCCACCCAGGCCAUAUCAAAAAUUAUACCUGAAGUCUGCAGAGCUCUUAAUAACAUUCUGAAAGUUGAAAUAAAGAUGCCCUCUACAGCGGAAGGGGAUGCAGCAGUAAAUUCCCACAUUGUGGCAUCGUUGGAUGGCAAACAUAUAGUUAUCGAGAGUCCACCUCAUAGUGGAACUGAAUAUUUCAACUACAAGAAAACUUUCAGUAUAGUGCUUUUGGCAUUAGUUGAUAGUAAUUAUAACUUUGUAUUUGUUGACAUAGGAUGUCAAGGGAGGAUUAGUGAUGGUGGUGCUUUUAACAAUUCAUUAUUAUGGCAAAGAAUCUGCAGAAAUGAAAUGAACUUCCCCACACCAUGCCCACUCCCUGGAUCGAACAAUAACGUAAACGUGCCAUAUGUAUUUUUAGCAGAUGGUGCCUUUGCACUCAGUACGCAUGUUAUGAAACCUUACCCUGGACAUCAUGAGACUGUAUUGCCAAAAAGAAUAUUUAACAAACAAUUGCCUAGAACCCAGGUUGGAGUGGAGAAUACUUUUGGCAUUUUAACUUCAGUGUUCAGAAUUUUAGGAGACCUAUUAAUUUGGAUCUCAAAACUGUGAAAGAAAUUACUAUGACCUGUGUGCUACUACAUAACUUUCUCAGAAAAAGUAGAUCUUCUUCAGAAAGAUAUAUUCCCCCUGGAACUUUGGAUCUAUGGGAUAGUAAUGGGAAUCUGAUAACACCUGGUGCAUGGUGGAAUAUAACAGAAUACAAUGCAAUACAAAAUUUGCCACUUGUACCUCGAAGAUCACCGCUAAAUGCCAUCAAGAUUAGGGAUGAAUUUACUUCAUACUUUUGUAGGAGUACGAAUGCUUCAUGAGGAGUUCUGACUUCUUAAUUUUAGAGCAUGUACUUCAUAUUAUAGAAACAGUAAAAAUCAAAACUGAUAGAUUCCAAAAUUUUGCUUAGUGUAUCUGAGUUCAAACCAAUCUUGUUGGUAUAUAGCAGCAAAAGAAAUGAUUCCACAAGCUGGUACGCAAACCAAACUGAUUCGUAAAUAUCUUCGACUCCGGAGGGAAAAUUAUUAUUACUUAUU